RNAcentral lists this transfer RNA (74 nucleotides) under Ipomoea nil (Japanese morning glory). It matches the Rfam family "tRNA". From Rfam's summary of the family: Transfer RNA (tRNA) molecules are approximately 80 nucleotides in length. Their secondary structure includes four short double-helical elements and three loops (D, anti-codon, and T loops). Further hydrogen bonds mediate the characteristic L-shaped molecular structure. tRNAs have two regions of fundamental functional importance: the anti-codon, which is responsible for specific mRNA codon recognition, and the 3' end, to which the tRNAs corresponding amino acid is attached (by aminoacyl-tRNA synthetases). tRNAs cope with the degeneracy of the genetic code in two manners: having more than one tRNA (with a specific anti-codon) for a particular amino acid; and 'wobble' base-pairing, i.e. permitting non-standard base-pairing at the 3rd anti-codon position. Lineage: Eukaryota; Viridiplantae; Streptophyta; Magnoliopsida; Solanales; Convolvulaceae. The record is from Rfam by way of RNAcentral.
GGCCUAUUAGUUCAGUUGGUUAGAGUGUUGUGUUAAUAACGCGAAGGUCAUAGGUUUGAGACCUGUAUGAGCCA